This 72-nucleotide transfer RNA is filed under the name Halomonas huangheensis. It matches the Rfam family "tRNA". From Rfam's summary of the family: Transfer RNA (tRNA) molecules are approximately 80 nucleotides in length. Lineage: Bacteria; Pseudomonadati; Pseudomonadota; Gammaproteobacteria; Oceanospirillales; Halomonadaceae. The record is from Rfam by way of RNAcentral.
UGGGGUAUAGCCAAGUGGUAAGGCACCGGUUUUUGGUAUCGGCAUUCGGAGGUUCGAGUCCUCCUACCCCAG